GACAGAGGUGCCGAGCGUUAGGCGGAAUCACUGGGCUUAAAGCGUGUGUAGGUGGAUGCCUAAGUACCUUGUGAAAUCCCACAGCUUAACUGUGGAACUGCUUGGUAUACUGGGUGUCUUGAGUCACUCAGGGGCGAGCGGAACAAAUGGUGGAGCGGUGAAAUGCGUAGAUAUCAUUUGGAACGCCAAUGGUGAAAACAGCUCGCUGGGGGUGCACUGACACUGAGACACGAAAGCCAGGGGAGCGAACGGG
RNAcentral lists this ribosomal RNA (253 nucleotides) under uncultured bacterium. Its description in RNAcentral is "partial 16S ribosomal RNA". It matches the Rfam family "Bacterial small subunit ribosomal RNA", at positions 524 to 776 of the family's 1533-position model. The record is from RNAcentral.